GUUGACACCUGCCUUUACCUAUACCUCAGGCAGAAGGUGUGAGCUGACGUGAAAAGAAAAGGUGAAGAUUAUGGUGUAAGCCAGUGAUUUUCAAUCCACCCUACCAUAAACAAAUCUUUUCCAUUUGUCUGCUAAGGACAUCUUCUAGGACACAACGUCAUUUUACAGCACAAAUGGAUCCUUUCUCGAAGCCAGGCAAUACAGUGGUACCUCGGGUUACAGACGCUUCAGGUUACAGACUCCGCUAACCUAGAAAUAGUACCUCGGGUUAAGAUCUUUGCUUCAGGAUGAGAACAGAAAUCGUGCGCCGUCACAGCAGCAGCAGGAGGCCCCAAUAGCUAAAGUGGUACCUCAGGUUAAGAACAGUUUCAGGUUAAGAACGGACCUCCAGAACUAUUUAAGUUCUUAGCCUGAGGUACCACUGCACUCUUUUGAGGCUGCCUAUUCUAGGGAAAGAUCAGUAUUAGUGAACAAACUGUCUUUCAGUGAUAUUCGAUUUGAAUGGGUGGUGGAAGGUUGUUCUUUUGCAGGUGGCUUAAAACAUUUUUAGUUGUGGAGCUCAUAGAAUUGUAGAUUGGAAAGGAACUCCCAGAGUCUUCUAGUCCAACCCUCUGCAAUGCAGGAAUUUCAGCUAAAGCACUGGCUCCCGGUGGAGUACACGGUCAGAUUUAAGGUGCUGGUUUUGACCUUUAAAGCCCUUCACGGCUUAAGACCCUCGUACCUAUGGGACCGCCUCUCCCGGUAUGCCCCACGGAGGACCUUAAGGUCCAUAAAUAGUAACACCCUAGUGGUCCCGGGCCCUAAGGAAGUUAGAUUAGCUUCAACCAGAGCCAGGGCCUUUUCAACACUGGCUCCGGCUUGGUGGAACGCUCUGUCUCAUGAGACCAGGGCCCUGCGGGAUCUGGUUUCUUUCUGCAGGGCCUGUAAGGCAGAGUUCUUCCACCUGGCCUUUGGCUUGGAGCCAAUUUGAUUCCCUCCCCCUCUUUCUUUUUCCUUUCUCCUCCUGUGAUGAGGCUGCAUUUUAAUGUUUCAAUAUUUUAAUGUUGUAUUUUAAUCUUGUUUUUAAGUUGUAUUCAUUCAACUUGUUUUUAUUAUUGCUUGUUAGCCGCCCUGAGCCUGGCCUUGGCUGGGGAGGGCGGGGUAUAAAUAAAAAUUAUUAUUAUUAUUAUUAUCAUCCAUGACAGGUGGCCCUCCAACCUCUGCUUAAAAACCUCUGAGGAAAGAGAGUCCACACCUUCCAAGAGAGACCGUUCCACUGUCAAACAGCUCUUAGUGUCCAAAAGUUUUCCCUGGUGCUUCGUUUUUUCUUGUAACUUGAAUCCAUUGGUUUGAGUCCUACCCUCCAGAGCAGGAGAAAACAAGCUUGCUCCAUCUUCCAUGUGACAGUCCUUGAGACAUUUGAAGAUGGCUUUCAUAUCUCCUCUCAGUCACCUCUUUUCCAGGCUAAACAUACCCAGCUCCUUCAACCUUUCCUCAUAAGGCUUGGUUUCCGGACCCUUGACCAUCUCCUCUGCGCACGUCUCAGCUUUUCAGUAUCCUUCUUAAACUGUGGUGCCCAGAAUUGGACACAGUAUUCCAGCUGUUGUCUGACCAAGGCAGAAUAGAGUAGUACUAUUACUAUACUUUUUUAGAUGCAGCCUAGACCAGGUCUUGGUUGGCAGAUCUCUUCAUUAGGAAGCAUGCAUUUUCCCCCUCACUCUGGACUAGCCGCCUGAGAAACAGUUUCUAUUUAAAUGCGAUUUUGGUUUUAAACGCAGUGUAAGGUAGUCUCUAUGGGAGUAUAUUGUAUUUAAUUAUGGGGUAUCAGAGUUUUUAGGGGGCUAACCAGGCUGG
Podarcis lilfordi (Lilford's wall lizard) is the source of this 1833-nucleotide non-coding RNA. Lineage: Eukaryota; Metazoa; Chordata; Lepidosauria; Squamata; Lacertidae. The record is from the annotation of a GenBank genome assembly.